Molecule: RNA transcript, 2170 nt
Organism: Gossypium arboreum
Lineage: Eukaryota; Viridiplantae; Streptophyta; Magnoliopsida; Malvales; Malvaceae
Gene name: mitochondrial import inner membrane translocase subunit TIM23-2-like
Exons: 2
Source: RefSeq, a predicted model, not a curated record
AAUAUAUAAAAAAAAAUUUAAAAAGGCCCAACUUGGUCCAACUCCCGACGCCGCUAACAAAACAUAAAAUCUUCAACCCUUCUCUUCCUUCUCUGCCAAUAAACUAAACCCUAACCAACUCCAAGUGUCGAGCCACCCAACUCACUAUUAACAAUGGCGCAUCAUCGUCGCUCCGACCCUGAAGCGGAACCAAACACCCGACUUUACAACCCAUACCAAGACUUGAACCUUCAAGUUCCCAUAACCAACCUGUACAAGCUCCCAACCUCUCCGGAGUUCCUCUUUGCUGAGGAAUCCCUCCACCAACGCCGCUCUUGGGGAGAAAAUUUGACCUUUUACACCGGUUCCGCUUAUUUAGGUGGCUCUAUAUCCGGCGCAGCCGUCGGGCUCUUCUCGGCUCUCAAGAACUUCGAGCAAGGCGAUACUUUGAAGCUGAAGAUCAACCGGAUCUUGAAUAGUUCGGGUCAUACGGGCCGGACAUGGGGAAACCGGAUCGGGGUGGUGGGCUUGAUUUAUGCGGGGCUGGAGAGUGGAGUCGUGGCGGUGACUGAUCGUGAUGAUGUCUGGAGCAGCGUGGCUGCGGGUCUGGCCACCGGAGCGGUUUGUCGUGCGGCGAGAGGUGUGAGGUCCGCGGCGGUGGCGGGUGCUCUGGGUGGGUUGGCGGCGGGAGCAGUGGUCGCUGGGAAGCAAGUUUUGAAGAGAUACGUGCCCAUUUGAAAAAAGAGAUGAUUUUGCAAUAAGUUGGUAUGUGAUUAGAUUGAAAUUUUUAUGGUGGUUGUAGGUUAAAUUUGAGGGGAAAUUUUUGCUAAUAGCAUUAGGUUUUAGAGAAAUCUAGUUUUAUUUAAUAUGUGAAAUUGAUGUGCUGAAAUUUUCUUUUCGAUGUUAAUGGAUCUUAUAUUCAACUACGGUCUGAACUUGGUUUAUUGCAACUUCAUCUAAGGCAUGUAAUGGUGCACUGUUUUAUGAUCAUUUUGAUGUUGUUUGGUAGCAUGUUUUCCUAUAGGUAAUGGUCUAAAGUGAUAUGGUCCCAUGCGGUUGCCUAUCGGCUUUCCUUUCUGCUAAGGUCAGGUAUCAAGGUCUUAGCUUUGACUAGGGCAUUGAAGCCUGAGGCCAGCGGGUUAUUUAAAGGAUGGAAAGGAGAAGUGAUUGUAUAUUCACCAUAGAGUUAUGUUCCGUUGUUGUUUCUGACUCUGGGGUUUUGUUCUUUUCUUUAAGGAUUGGGAUCUUUAGUGACACCCCCCAAAAAAUUCAAGGAUAAGGUGCUAGAUUUUAUUUUCUAUUUUGUUGUUAUUCGCCUUCAUAUAGAUAUAACACAGAAGUUUCUCUCAUUGCAUCUUUGAUAUUCUUUUAACAAGUUGGAUCUUCUCUAUUAAAGGGAGGGUUUGAGAGGCUUGUAAAACAUUAUAAAUCCCGCAAAUACGGACGGGAUGGAGAAAUAGAAAUUUGAACUUUUAUUCCCCUUCUUAGUAAUAACAGUUCUCGAGCAUUUAUACAAACAAUUCCCAACCCAAGCUGAGCAAAACUGAUCCACUUGGGAGUCUUUGGUCACACAAAGUGAAGCCACAAGAUUACACAAAACUCAUACCAGCAUGUUUCAAAAAAGAUGGGGAAAGCCGGUCAGCAGAUCAAAGCGACGAAUAUGAAUACCAACACUACCAACAAAGACGAGGAUCUAUCUAUCGAGCUUGAACUAGAACUCAAAACAUGAAAACACAGCAUAGUUCUCAUUUCUAUAUGGCUUUAAACUAGAUGUACUAACUUGACACCGUCGAAAUCAAACCUUCAACGGGAAAUUUUGUCAACCGUAUGAGCAGGGGUUGCUAAUUCAGAAUACUAAAGAAUAUUUGAUGCAAAACCAUUAUUUUCGGUGAACAAUUCUGACCAGUAAAACACUAGAAAUGUGAUGGGUUAGCAGUAGCAUCCCCUUAAAUCAUUCCAAAUAUUCCGUAUGGAAAGGGUUAUUACACUCUGCAAAAGGAAAAUUCCAGCUCGCAGUUUUGUUCCUCAAUUCCUGAUCCCCCUUAUUCCCCAAAAAAAUUUAAAUUGGUUUACAAUGAAAAUACUACUCCCGAAGAAAAUUGCCCAGGAAUACAUGUAUUGGAUUCAAGCCAUCACGAAAAUUGAUCACAGCAAGAAAGUGUGUUUAACUUAAAGAAACAAACACCAUUGA